GAUGAACGCUGGCGGCGUGCCUAAUACAUGCAAGUCGAACGCACAGCGAAAGGUGCUUGCACCUUUCAAGUGAGUGGCGAACGGGUGAGUAACACGUGGACAACCUGCCUCAAGGCUGGGGAUAACAUUUGGAAACAGAUGCUAAUACCGAAUAAAACUCAGUGUCGCAUGACACAAAGUUAAAAGGCGCUUUGGCGUCACCUAGAGAUGGAUCCGCGGUGCAUUAGUUAGUUGGUUGGGUAAAGGCCUACCAAGACAAUGAUGCAUAGACGAGUUGAGAGACUGAUCGGCCACAUGGGGACUGAGACACGGCCCAAAAUCCUACGGGAGGCUGCAGUAGGGAAUCUUCCACAAUGGGCGAAAGGCUGAUGGAGCAACGCCGCGUGUGUGAUGAAGGCUUUCGGGUCGUAAAGCACUGUUGUAUGGGAAGAACAGCUAGAAUAGGGAAUGAUUUUAGUUUGACGGUACCAUACCAGAAAGGGACGGCUAAAUACGUGCCAGCCGCCGCCGUAA
This 513-nucleotide ribosomal RNA is filed under the name uncultured bacterium. RNAcentral's name for it is "partial 16S ribosomal RNA". It matches the Rfam family "Bacterial small subunit ribosomal RNA", at positions 28 to 523 of the family's 1533-position model. The record is from RNAcentral.